CUGUCACCUAAAAGUCCUUGAGGUAUCAAAUUUGGAAACACUCAUUGGCAGUUUACGUCAUAAAUAUGCAUACACAUGCAACUGGAGAGUAGGGGGUACUUAAUUAGCAAAGGGAAAUGGAUGGAGUUCAUAUCUCGGGUUUUAGAAGGUUAAUUAUAUGGUUAGAGAUCACUUGAGCAGAUUGCUUCAGCUCAUUUGAUAUUCUCACACACUUU
Non-coding RNA from Caenorhabditis elegans, 215 nucleotides. The record is from Ensembl. Lineage: Eukaryota; Metazoa; Nematoda; Chromadorea; Rhabditida; Rhabditidae.